RNAcentral lists this unclassified non-coding RNA (2395 nucleotides) under Hevea brasiliensis (rubber tree). The record is from RNAcentral. Lineage: Eukaryota; Viridiplantae; Streptophyta; Magnoliopsida; Malpighiales; Euphorbiaceae.
GUGAAACGUGGGUGUCUUCCUCGCCUACAUGUAAAAGCCAAAUCAGCAUAGACGUGUAAACCGGAACCAACUUGGUCUUCUCAAGAUCAAGAAAAAGAAAAACGCUUUCCUGUGUAGUCUAAAGUCUCUUUGGUGCAGCAGAUGUUAGUAAGAGAGGGUGAAAAAUCAUGGAAGAGAUUAGGCCAUCACCUCCAGUGCCACCACCAACAGCCACCGGCACAACGGCUUCAACUUCCUAGAGAAAGCCAGAGACAUCAGCGAUGUCACGGUUGAAGAAGGAGUGCUUAUCUUUUACAGUUUCGUUACAGGAAUGCUUUCGCUCUAUCAAAGCCACAUUAGUGGGUCAGGUAAGGCGCCUUGAAUUGAGGGCAAAUUGCUUAUUAUAUACAAUACUACCGAGCUGAUUAAUUAAUUGCAAGUCUUUUAAUUAACAUGUAAACAGGCGAAAAAGAUUACAGCAAGAAAUGAGAAGGAAGCAACUGCAGCUGAUUUGCAGGCCAGUAAGACGCAGAUUGAAGCAGCUGAUGAAGCUGAAAAUAUCAAGAAGAGGCUCGACAAAUCUCUGUAAUAUCCAUAUCCAUACUGUAGCAGAGAAUUGAGUACAGAUAUUUUAUAUUUUGAAUACAUAUUUAUAUAUUUCGAGCUAAAUGUAAAACUGGAUUUUCUUGGUAUAAAAUUUUAAUCAGAAAAUAGUGUCUGUAGUGGCUAUAUUAAGCAUGACUUGGUUAUUCUAAGAAUUAGAGGAAGUGGGUCCUUCCAGACGAAUGUAGUCAUACAUGAUUCCGGCCUGAAAAGGGCUUGUAAACAUUGGUUGGGUCAAGAAAAUGCUAUUAUCUCCUUCCAGGAGCUGAGCACCUGGGACCUCUACACUGUAGAGUCUGUACAAUCCAUGAAUUCCAUGUCUUGUAAUUGUGUUGUCAUGUCCAAUUACUCCAGUUGAAAAUAGGGGAGGAUUGGUUCCAGGGUCAUUAAUGCGAACCUGCACUAUUUGCAGUUGCAAGUGCCAAUCGUAGAUUAUAUGUUCCACCCUUAUUUGCAUUCACAAGGCUGAACUUAAUUUGCCAUGUAGUUCCCUGGUACUUACCAUCACCUAUUUUCCUGAAAUUUCACCAAAGCUCUGUAAUUGAAGAACUUUCAACAUCCUUGGCGUUUAAGGUUUUUAAUUUUUCUGCUUAGAUUAUGAAAAUUAUUAAAAAACAUGCGAUUAUUCGAUUAUUAGCAUACUUCUUGAAUAUAUGGUCCACAAAUUUUAAAAAUUGACUGGUGGCCUGGAGGAUUGAUUCAAACCUGGGAACUUGGGCGAAGAACCAGUCUCUGCUAUAGUCACUGGUCCCUAUAGUGUAAACCAAAUCUUCAUCAGGGUACAAAUCUGUAUAUCUUUCCCAUAGUCCAUACUGCCUGAACCUGUCCAAAGCAAAUUUUUUUUUUUCUAUGAAGAGUUAGCCCCAAUAGUUUCAUGGGAUUUACCCAUAUAAGCAUUAGUCCUCUGGGACAAUAAGCAGCGACAUGUUCUUCCUGUUCUGUAAAUUUUAGGCUAACUAACCUGUCAGGAUGACUGACAUAAAGUUUGUUGAUAUACUUGGGAUCAGGAUCAGGAACAUAGAAUUUUGCAGCAGAACGAUCAGGGAUACCUAUUUCCCACAAUGUGGGUCCAUCUCUUGGAGGUUCGUAUACUACAUCUCCCAAGUCAAUAUCGCAACCUUCAGUUAUGGUAAUGGCCGCAUCAUAUCUGUAAUCUCCAAUAAAACCAGGAACCCACCCGUUAAGGUUAUAGUUUCCGGUGCGGAUGUUAUUGAUACAGAAAUAACCAUCUUCGUCUGCUUCUGCCCAGAAUUGGUAACCCUGAGGUUGUAGAGCAAAAUCUAACUUGUGAAACAGGAUGCCAAAUUGACGUGAUGUAAGCAGAGGUCUUCUUUUACAAUCAAUCAUGAAACAGGCUGUCCUGUUUCUGUGCAAUUAAUAAAGAUUGCCGUUGAACUUAAAAUGGAAGAAAGUGGUGGUGUCCUUUUCAGGGGUAUUAUGUUCAUAUAAUAAACUUUACCUUGCUUUCAAUUUGCCAUGAUCCAGUGUCUCCUGGUGGCGCCAAUCCCACAUAAGCACCAUUUGCUGGUAUAUCAGAAUCACUAGCAUGCCUGUCUCGAACCAGCAAUCUACCACUGACACUACCACGUUGACUGCAUGAUGGAAAAUCCUCUGAAGCUGGGAAACUGUAAGGCCAGCUUUGAACUUCAAUUAACAUCUGUUCUUUCGCAUCCUCCCACAACAAAAGCGGGUCAUUUUCGUCUAACAAAGUGUUCAGAUAGAUAAAAACAGGACCAAAAACUUUCUUCCAUGGCUCGCCGUGUUUGAAUUUCAGCACCAUAUCUUCCCCAACAUAAUGGGCACUCAGAAACAU